CGUGACAGCUGUAGAAGAACCUGUUGACUGCCCAAAUGUUUCUAGUAUUGCUUGCAAGUAUGCUUCAAUUUUUCAGGAAUUUCUGCAACAAUCAGGCUUGCCAAUUUGGAACAGAUUUAAGAAUACUGGAUUCUGGCGUCAAUUAACGGUCCGAGAAGGAAGAUUAUCAGAGAAUGAUGCUGAUGUCAAGAACCCUGAUGGCAACAUAUCAGAGGUCAUGCUUAUUGUUCAGGUUUGCUCAGCUGGAUUUGACAAUGAAGUAAUAAAUAGUGAACUUGGGAAGUUGGCUGAUGCAUUUGCUACUGGAGCUGCUGCAAAUUAUCCACCUUUGCCCUUAACAGUUUUGGUUCUUCAGGAUCACCAAGGAAUAUCAAAUGUUGCACCAGCAGACGCUUCGUUGCGUAUUUUGCCCCUUCCAAAUGGUGGAAGUAGGUCUGAAGUGGAGGCAGGCAAGAAUGUUGUCGAAGCAAGAAUUCAUGAUCAUAUAAGCAAUCUUCAGUUCUCCAUAUCACCAACAGCUUUUUUCCAGGUUAACACACUUGCUGCAGAGAAACUGUAUUCGCUUGCUGGAGAUUGGGCUGGCCUUGGUCCUGACACCUUGCUUUUUGAUAUAUGCUGUGGGACUGGAACUAUUGGGCUCACUUUAGCACAUCGUGUUGGAAUGGUUAUUGGAAUUGAAAUGAAUGCUUCAGCGGUUUCAGAUGCUCACCGGAAUGCUGAAAUUAAUGGCAUUAAAAACUGUAGAUUUGUUUGUGGAAAGGCAGAGAAUGUGAUGGCAUCUUUAUUGAAGGAGUACUUAAAUGGGCCUCAGAAACAAGAUGAGCUACAACUACCAAAUUCAAGUGAAAGUAAUGACAAUGACAUUACUAUAGACAAUGAUAAAGAUAUUCCCAUGGAUAAUGUGCUAGAUAAUAAUGAGAACUCAACCCAUGAGCUUGACAACAGGAAAGAUGCUUCUGGGUGUUCUGAAAAUGGUGGACAAGAAAACCAAAGCCAACUUCAGAAGAGUUCUUCCUCAGAAGAUGGGAGGUCAUCCGUCCCUCAGUUUAAAAAUAUUGUUGCUAUUGUUGAUCCUCCCCGUAGCGGGCUUCAUCCCAUUGUGAUCAAAGUUCUGAGAACUCAUUCACAUCUACGUCGACUUGUUUAUAUUUCCUGUAAUCCCGAAACCUUAGUAGCAAAUGCUAUUGAGCUGUGCACACCAUCACCCAAUAAAAUAGAGAAAGGGAAUAAAAAUAACCGGGGAUGGAGAAACAUGAGCAGCGCUGGUUUGGCACGCCACAGAGCGAAGUCUAUGCCCAUUUCAGAACCUUUUCGACCUGUAAAAGCUAUGGCUGUUGACCUCUUCCCACAUACCACACACUGUGAAAUGGUGAUGCUCCUUGAGAGGUAACUAGGCCAUUCACACAUCCUAUUAUUUGUUCCGCAGCAAAGAAUUGACGAAAGUUCAGUCAAGUUACAU
Molecule: unclassified non-coding RNA, 1459 nt
Filed under: Hevea brasiliensis (rubber tree)
Lineage: Eukaryota; Viridiplantae; Streptophyta; Magnoliopsida; Malpighiales; Euphorbiaceae
Source: RNAcentral